AAAGGAAUGUAUUAAAUUAUAAAAAGUCACAUCUCACUAGCUACGCUAGCUAAAUAGCGAGAUAGCUAAAAGUAAAAAUAGUUAAACUUUGGUUAGUCUGCUGGAGCUCCUACAAUACCCAAAAAGCUAAACAUGCUCUCUAAAAUAGUUAAAAAAACUAAAAUAGAGAGUCUGAUAAAGAUGCUCUGAUCCUUAUUGAUUUUUUUUAAUCAAUCAACAAUUUUAUUGCUCAACAAUGGGCAGAAGGCACAAUACAUCACAUGUCGUGUUCUACAAGAUAAGUUGAAGUAGAAGCUACAAGCAUGCAAAAGAGUAAUUACAAGCAUGCAAAAGAGUAAUAUCUUCAUUGUUAAUAAAGUUCAAAUUAAGAGAGCCUCACACAUAGGAAGAAAAAAAACCACACUACCUAACCCAGGACAAGAGAAUGUUAGCUGCCUAGAGACCUCAAUUAGUGUACACCUAGUAAAUUGAAAACCAAGUACCAUUGUUUCCUUCCCAUGCUCAGGUGACGUAGCCUAACAUCUACGUCUUGUUGGCACUCAUUUCCACAUCAACAGCAACAUACAGAGACAACCCCAACCCAUGUUCAACCAUCCAUACCCAAAACAGGCUCAAGCCCAAACAGAGCCUAAAUCCAAUCAGGGGUCCUCUUCCCUGUAGCUAUGCCGCCGUUGCCAGUGCCCAGCAGCUUCCGACCCCGACUGUAGGCCAACCUUGCACCGUCUCAGCUCCCUCCCCAUCCUUGCAUGUGACACGGCCAUCGCCACUAUCCGGCAAAUUCAGCACCGACAACACAAUCCAAUUGACCUACUUCAAAGACCUUGGUGUUAGCCGCUGUCUCCCAAACCCAACGACCGCCAUACCUGCAUCAAAGACCAGUCUGCCUAAUUGAUGAUGAAUUGAAAGACAUAAUUAUUUGGAGACGUAAAAAUUUAUGAGGAGUUAAAGGAAACGUUUUUGUCCAAUUUAAAAAUGGGAGCAGACACAAGGUACACUUGCCAUCAAUAUGCAAGUCACCCGAUCGAAGAUGCGAAGAUAGAAUGAAGACUGGAAACCCUAGCCUCAAUUCCUUCCUCUGGCCUUUUCAUUUUUGAUCUGAUUAGAUUAAACACUCAUAACUUUUUUGACAUAUGGUCCUCACCUCCUGUAUUUGAAACGAUUAGACUAGUUUUUAGGGUUUCGAUUUUGUUAACGGCGUUCACAUAUACACAUGAUAAUGUCACAUAGAUGGCUUAAUCAAUAAAAUGUUAAGAUUGCAUAUUAAAUGUUUGGUUCACUUGCACCUAUUGGUUAGUACAAGAAUUUUCGUUUAAAAACAUCUAUAAUGAGUGGACUUCCAUGUUGAUCAUGAAGGUUAUCUAAUCAGCAUGAAAUCAUUAAUCUCCCCUUGAUGGUGAAUUAUAUAUGUGGUUUUGCUUUUGUGUGGAUUUUAGAACGACAUUGUUUUCAUCUUUGGC
Molecule: long non-coding RNA, 1457 nt
Filed under: Fragaria vesca (wild strawberry)
Lineage: Eukaryota; Viridiplantae; Streptophyta; Magnoliopsida; Rosales; Rosaceae
Description: long non-coding RNA (FVES_LNC001773)
Source: RNAcentral